RNAcentral lists this non-coding RNA (148 nucleotides) under Macaca mulatta (Rhesus monkey). The record is from Rfam by way of RNAcentral. Lineage: Eukaryota; Metazoa; Chordata; Mammalia; Primates; Cercopithecidae.
GCCGGGUGUGGUGGCGUACACCUGUAGUCCCAGCUACUAAGGAGGCUGAGGUGGGAGGCUCACUUGAGCCCAAGAGGCGGAGAUUGCAGUGAACUGUGAUUGUGCCACUGCACUCUAGCCUGGGCAACAAAGAGAGACCCUGUCUAAA